CCUACGGGAGGCAGCAGUGGGGAAUAUUGCGCAAUGGGCGGAAGCCUGACGCAGCGACGCCGCGUGAGGGACGAAGGCCUUCGGGUUGUAAACCUCUUUCAGCAGGGACGAAGCGUGAGUGACGGUACCUGCAGAAGAAGCACCGGCCAACUACGUGCCAGCAGCCGCGGUAAUACGUAGGGUGCAAGCGUUGUCCGGAAUUAUUGGGCGUAAAGAGCUCGUAGGCGGUUUGUCGCGUCGACUGUGAAAACCCGAGGCUUAACCUCGGGCCUGCAGUCGAUACGGGCAGACUAGAGUUCGGUAGGGGAGACUGGAAUUCCUGGUGUAGCGGUGAAAUGCGCAGAUAUCAGGAGGAACACCGGUGGCGAAGGCGGGUCUCUGGGCCGAUACUGACGCUGAGGAGCGAAAGCGUGGGGAGCGAACAGGAUUAGAUACCCUGGUAGUCCACGCCGUAAACGUUGGGCGCUAGGUGUGGGGGUCUUUCCACGAUCUCCGUGCCGCAGCUAACGCAUUAAGCGCCCCGCCUGGGGAGUACGGCCGCAAGGCUAAAACUCAAAGGAAUUGACGGGGGCCCGCACAAGCGGCGGAGCAUGCGGCUUAAUUCGACGCAACGCGAAGAACCUUACCAAGGCUUGACAUACGCCGAAAUCCUCCAGAGAUGGGGGGUCCGUAAGGGCGGCGUACAGGUGGUGCAUGGUUGUCGUCAGCUCGUGUCGUGAGAUGUUGGGUUAAGUCCCGCAACGAGCGCAACCCUCGUUCUAUGUUGCCAGCGCGUGAUGGCGGGGACUCAUAGGAGACUGCCGGGGUCAACUCGGAGGAAGGUGGGGAUGACGUCAAAUCAUCAUGCCCCUUAUGUCCUGGGCUGCACGCAUGCUACAAUGGCCAGUACAAAGGGCUGCGAUACCGUAAGGUGAGCGAAUCCCAAAAAGCUGGUCUCAGUUCGGAUUGGGGUUCUGCAACUCGACCCCAUGAAGUCGGAGUCGCUAGUAAUCGCAGAUCAGCACGCCGCGGUGAAUACGUUUCCCGGG
Molecule: ribosomal RNA, 1028 nt
Filed under: uncultured bacterium
Lineage: Bacteria
Description: bacterial SSU rRNA
Rfam family: Bacterial small subunit ribosomal RNA
Source: RNAcentral